RNAcentral lists this ribosomal RNA (2891 nucleotides) under Acinetobacter baumannii 25493_6. RNAcentral describes it as "bacterial LSU rRNA". It matches the Rfam family "Bacterial large subunit ribosomal RNA". The record is from RNAcentral. Lineage: Bacteria; Pseudomonadati; Pseudomonadota; Gammaproteobacteria; Moraxellales; Moraxellaceae.
UCAAGUAAUUAAGUGCAUGUGGUGGAUGCCUUGGCAGUCAGAGGCGAUGAAAGACGUGAUAGCCUGCGAAAAGCUCCGGGGAGGCGGCAAAUAUCCUUUGAUCCGGAGAUGUCUGAAUGGGGGAACCCACCUACUUUAAGGUAGGUAUUGCAACAUGAAUACAUAGUGUUGCAAGGCGAACGAGGGGAAGUGAAACAUCUCAGUACCCUUAGGAAAAGAAAUCAAUUGAGAUUCCCUCAGUAGCGGCGAGCGAACGGGGAUCAGCCCAUUAAGUUAUGUGUGUUUUAGUGGAACGCUCUGGGAAGUGCGAACGUAGAGGGUGAUAUUCCCGUACACGAAAGGGCACACAUAAUGAUGACGAGUAGGGCGAGGCACGUGAAACCUUGUCUGAAUAUGGGGGGACCAUCCUCCAAGGCUAAAUACUCCUGACUGACCGAUAGUGAACCAGUACCGUGAGGGAAAGGCGAAAAGAACCCCUGUGAGGGGAGUGAAAUAGAUCCUGAAACCGCAUGCAUACAAGCAGUGGGAGCACCUUCGUGGUGUGACUGCGUACCUUUUGUAUAAUGGGUCAGCGACUUAUAUUCAGUAGCGAGGUUAACCGUAUAGGGGAGCCGUAGAGAAAUCGAGUCUUAAUAGGGCGUUUAGUUGCUGGGUAUAGACCCGAAACCAGGCGAUCUAUCCAUGAGCAGGUUGAAGGUUGGGUAACACUAACUGGAGGACCGAACCCACUGUCGUUGAAAAGCCAGGGGAUGACUUGUGGAUAGGGGUGAAAGGCUAAUCAAGCCUGGUGAUAGCUGGUUCUCCCCGAAAGCUAUUUAGGUAGCGCCUCGGACGAAUACCAUAGGGGGUAGAGCACUGUUUCGGCUAGGGGGUCAUCCCGACUUACCAAACCGAUGCAAACUCCGAAUACCUAUGAGUACUAUCCGGGAGACAGACUGCGGGUGCUAACGUCCGUAGUCAAGAGGAAAACAAUCCAGACCGCCAGCUAAGGCCCCAAAAUCAUAGUUAAGUGGGAAACGAUGUGGGAAGGCAUAGACAGCUAGGAGGUUGGCUUAGAAGCAGCCACCCUUUAAAGAAAGCGUAAUAGCUCACUAGUCGAGUCGGCCUGCGCGGAAGAUGUAACGGGGCUAAAACUAUGUGCCGAAGCUGCGGAUGUAUACUUUGUAUACGUGGUAGGGGAGCGUUCUGUAAGCCGAUGAAGGUGUGUUGAGAAGCAUGCUGGAGGUAUCAGAAGUGCGAAUGCUGACGUGAGUAACGACAAAACGGGUGAAAAACCCGUUCGCCGAAAGACCAAGGGUUCCAGUCCAACGUUAAUCGGGGCUGGGUGAGUCGACCCCUAAGGCGAGGCCGAAAGGCGUAGUCGAUGGGAAAAUGGUUAAUAUUCCAUUACUUCUGUGUAAUGCGAUGAGAGGACGGAGAAGGCUAAAUCAGCCUGGCGUUGGUUGUCCAGGUGAAAGGAUGUAGGCAUGUAUCUUAGGCAAAUCCGGGGUACUCUAUGCUGAGAUCUGAUAGCAAGCUGUACUUGUACAGCGAAGUGGUUGAUGCCAUGCUUCCAGGAAAAGUCUCUAAGCUUCAGUUACACAGGAAUCGUACCCGAAACCGACACAGGUGGUCAGGUCGAGUAGACCAAGGCGCUUGAGAGAACUCUGCUGAAGGAACUAGGCAAAAUGGUACCGUAACUUCGGGAGAAGGUACGCUGUUGUUGGUGAUGGAACUCGCUUCCUGAGCUGACGACAGCCGCAGAAACCAGGCCGCUGCAACUGUUUAUUAAAAACAUAGCACUCUGCAAACACGAAAGUGGACGUAUAGGGUGUGAUGCCUGCCCGGUGCUGGAAGGUUAAUUGAUGGGGUUAGCGUAAGCGAAGCUCUUGAUCGAAGCCCCAGUAAACGGCGGCCGUAACUAUAACGGUCCUAAGGUAGCGAAAUUCCUUGUCGGGUAAGUUCCGACCUGCACGAAUGGCAUAAUGAUGGCGGCGCUGUCUCCAGCAGAGGCUCAGUGAAAUCGAAAUCGCUGUGAAGAUGCAGUGUACCCGCGGCUAGACGGAAAGACCCCGUGAACCUUUACUGCAGCUUGACACUGAACUUUGACCUUACUUGUGUAGGAUAGGUGGGAGGCUUUGAAGCUGGAACGCUAGUUCCAGUGGAGCCGUCCUUGAAAUACCACCCUGGUAAUGUUGAGGUUCUAACUCUGUCCCGUGAUCCGGGACGAGGACCGUGUCUGGUGGGUAGUUUGACUGGGGCGGUCUCCUCCUAAAGAGUAACGGAGGAGUACGAAGGUGCGCUCAGCGUGGUCGGAAAUCACGCGUAGAGUAUAAAGGCAAAAGCGCGCUUAACUGCGAGACCCACAAGUCGAGCAGGUACGAAAGUAGGUCUUAGUGAUCCGGUGGUUCUGUAUGGAAGGGCCAUCGCUCAACGGAUAAAAGGUACUCUGGGGAUAACAGGCUGAUACCGCCCAAGAGUUCAUAUCGACGGCGGUGUUUGGCACCUCGAUGUCGGCUCAUCUCAUCCUGGGGCUGAAGCAGGUCCCAAGGGUAUGGCUGUUCGCCAUUUAAAGAGGUACGCGAGCAUGGUUUAGAACGUCGUGAGACAGUUCGGUCCCUAUCUACCGUGGGCGCUGGAAAUUUGAGAGGAUCUGCUCCUAGUACGAGAGGACCAGAGUGGACGAACCUCUGGUGUACCGGUUGUGACGCCAGUCGCAUCGCCGGGUAGCUAUGUUCGGAAGGGAUAACCGCUGAAAGCAUCUAAGCGGGAAGCCUACCUCAAGAUAAGAUUUCCCUAGGACUUUAUGUCCUCUAAAGAGCCGUUCGAGACUAGGACGUUGAUAGGUUGGAUGUGGAAGCAUAGUGAUAUGUGAAGCUGACCAAUACUAAUUGCUCGUGAGGCUUGACUAU